UACGUAGGGUGCGAGCGUUAAUCGGAAUUACUGGGCGUAAAGCGUGCGCAGGCGGUUCUCCAAGUCCGGUGUGAAAGCCCCGGGCUCAACCUGGGAAUGGCAGUGGAAACUAGGGGACUUGAAUCUGGCAGAGGGGGGUGGAAUUCCACGUGUAGCAGUGAAAUGCGUAGAGAUGUGGAGGAACACCGAUGGCGAAGGCAGCCCCCUGGGCUGAGAUUGACGCUCAGGCACGAAAGCGUGGGGAGCAAACAGG
RNAcentral lists this ribosomal RNA (253 nucleotides) under uncultured bacterium. RNAcentral describes it as "partial 16S ribosomal RNA". It matches the Rfam family "Bacterial small subunit ribosomal RNA", at positions 524 to 776 of the family's 1533-position model. The record is from RNAcentral.